UGGGGAAUCUUGGACAAUGGGGGCAACCCUGAUCCAGCCAUGCCGCGUGAGUGAUGAAGGCCUUAGGGUCGUAAAGCUCUUUCGCCUGUGAAGAUAAUGACGGUAGCAGGUAAAGAAACCCCGGCUAACUCCGUGCCAGCAGCCGCGGUAAUACGGAGGGGGUUAGCGUUGUUCGGAAUUACUGGGCGUAAAGCGCACGUAGGCGGACCAGAAAGUUGGGGGUGAAAUCCCGGGGGCUCAACCCCGGAACUGCCUCCAAAACUAUUGGUCUAGAGUUCGAGAGAGGUGAGUGGAAUUCCAAGUGUAGAGGUGAAAUUCGUAGAUAUUCGGAGGAACACCAGUGGCGAAGGCGGCUCACUGGCUCGAUACUGACGCUGAGGUGCGAAAGUGUGGGGAGCAAACAGGAUUAGAUACCCUGGUAGUCCACACCGUAAACGAUGAAUGCCAGUCGUCGGGUAGCAUGCUAUUCGGUGACACACCUAACGGAUUAAGCAUUCCGCCUGGGGAGUACGGUCGCAGAUUAAAACUCAAAUGAAUUGAC
This 541-nucleotide ribosomal RNA is filed under the name uncultured bacterium. RNAcentral's name for it is "bacterial SSU rRNA". It matches the Rfam family "Bacterial small subunit ribosomal RNA", at positions 355 to 914 of the family's 1533-position model. The record is from RNAcentral.